Molecule: long non-coding RNA, 2528 nt
Filed under: Sus scrofa (pig)
Lineage: Eukaryota; Metazoa; Chordata; Mammalia; Artiodactyla; Suidae
Description: lncRNA (ENSSSCG00050001340.1)
Source: RNAcentral
CUUCCUUAUUGAAGUUUAAUUUAUGUCAAUGCUAUCUUAGUUUCAGGUAUAAAACAUAGUGAUACAACAUUUAUAUAUAUAUUUAUUUUCUUUUCUUUUUUUGUCUUUUUAGGCUGUACCUGUGGGAUAUGAAAGUUUCCAGGCUAGGCGUUGAAUCAGAGCUGUAGCUGCCAGCCUACAACAUAGCUACAGCAAUGCAAGGUCCAAACCAUGUCUGUGACCUAUACCACAGCUCUUGGCAAUGCCAGAUCCUUAACCCACUGUGAAAGGCCAGGGAUCAAACCUGCAUCCUAAUGGAUGCUAGUCAGACUCGUUUCUGCUGAGCCAUGACAGGAACGCCAUAUAUAUAUAUUUUUUUUUCUCAAAGAAACAAGUUUUUCAGUCUGGGUGGGCCACAUAUUAGCUGUUAGAGCUGUACAGCUCUGCUGUUAUAGUAUAAUAGAAGCCAUAGAUAUUACAUAAAUGAAUGGGUUUGGCUGUGUUCCAAUGACAUUUUAUUUGCAAAAUGAGGAGGCUGGGGCCUGUAGACCUUAGUUUAUCAAUUCCUGGGCUAUGUUGACUUGUGUAACAAACAUUCCCCAAAUCUCAGUGAUCCAAAACAUCAAAGAUUUAUUUCAGUCAUUUCCUUUUUCAUGUUACAUGUUAAUUUUAGAUUUAUCAGAGGGCUUCUACUCAUCUUAGUUACUCAGAGACCCAAGUUAAGUGAACUUGUUACCAUUCAAAUAGAAAAGAAUGCUCUGGUAAUUAAGUGUUUGCUUUAGAAGAGAUACUCAUCACUUCCAUUCAUUACUCAUUAGCCAGAACUGGAGGAGGAGAGGGAAUGGGAUAGACUGGGAGUUUAGGGUUGGUAGAUGCAAACUAUCACAUUUAGGAUGGAUAUGCAAUGAGGUCCUGCUGUAGAGUAAAGGGAACUACAUCCAAUCUCUUGGGAUAGACUAUGAUGGAAUACAGUGUAAGAAAAAUAAUGUGUGUGUGUGUAUUACUGGGUCACUUUGCUAUACAGCAGAAAUUGGCACUUUAUAAAUCAACUAUUCUUUAAUUUAAAAAUAAAAGACCAGGACUUCCAGUCGUGGCGCAGUGGUUAACGAAUCCGACUAGGAACCAUGAGGUUGCGGGUUCCGUCCCUGCCCUUGCUCAAGUAAUAUGCUAGCCACAAGCCUAAUCAAUAAGCUCUGGGCACUCUUGAAAUAAAAUUGAGCUUGAAAUAUCCUACUAAGAUUACACACCUUCUAGCUUAAAUGGGAUUAAAAGUCUUCCACACCUUUGCCAAUGAAGACCAUCCAUUGUGCCACUGGGACAGCAGCACUUAUUAGCAAAUCUAUCCUGGUACAAACAUCUGUGUAUGUGUGUUCAUCCAUGUAUGUGUGUGCAGGUGUGUGGGGGCAUAUGUGUGUAUGCACAUGUGAAAAGACAUCUGUCUAGGCAUUAGAUUUAAUCUGGGAAUUCGAUACUCCUGCUACAAUCAUACAAACUUCAUGCUAAGCAUGUACAAUAAGUGGAAGAUACUUAUAGAAAAUCUCUUUUGUAUGUGUAAAUGUAAUGCAUAUUUUAUUUUAAGGCAUCAGCUGGAGUGAUAGCUCCAUAAAGAUAUAAUGAUAUUUCCCUUAUUGAGGAAAGUCGAAUAUUUUUGUCCAACUCACAUGAUUUCAAACUUUGAUUCUGCCAGUUAUUAGCUGUGUAAUAUAGGGUAGGUUUUAGAGCUUCUCUAAGCCUCAAUGAUCCAGUCUGUACAACAAGGGAAAUCAUACUUAACCUUAAGUUUUAUAGUGAGCAUUUUGUGAGAUAAUGUUGAUAAACAAAUUGAAAUGAGAGAGUGCUGAAUAAUGAAUGAUAUUAUAAAAAGAUGUGGCCUGGUUCUCAGGAAUACAAUAGUGUACUUGCUGAGAAAUGACAGACACACACGAAGCAUCAAACCAUGGUAAAAGAGAUAAAUAGCCAAUCAGCAGAGCAUGAAAGAAUAUGACUAAUUGCAUAAUAAAUGUUUUAAGAGGUUAUAGAUGGAAGAACAGAGUGAGCAGGAUUAUAGGAGAAGAUAUUCAGAUCAGGGCCAACUUGAACUGGACCUUGAAGGGCAGGGAAGGGCAAGAAAAGGUGAGCAGGUGAUAACAUGCAGUACAGACAGAGAAGACAGUGGAUAGCCCACUUUGGCUGGAAAGCUGGCUCUGGGGCCUUGUGUAUUUGAAGAUAAGCCUAGAAAGGCUGGCUGGGGUGGGCUAAGAGGCCUUUGAAUGUCAAGCUAAUGCAUCAUAUGGACAACUGAAGGAGACUGUCUUUCCAAUUCAUUUUAAUCUGUUCUAAACCCACAUAAUUCAACAGAUCUAGUUAUCCCUUCUGCCUAUUUAUCAUGUUUUCAAAGUUACCUUGUAUAAGAGGGAAACAAGGGGCCAGAGAUAAGCUAUGGGUACAUCACCUCAUGACUGAUGUUUAGCUCUAGUGAUCAUGUUACUGUGUUCAUCUCCCGCAGACCUUAAGCCCAUGGCUCUUUCCUGCUGCAGUGCUCUGGGUGCCAAUCCUUUUGCAUUUUCUGU